CCAGACUCCUACGGGAGGCAGCAGUGGGGAAUAUUGGGCAAUGGGCGCAAGCCUGACCCAGCAACGCCGCGUGAAGGAAGAAGGCUUUCGGGUUGUAAACUUCUUUUCUCAGGGACGAAGAAAGUGACGGUACCUGAGGAAUAAGCCACGGCUAACUACGUGCCAGCAGCCGCGGUAAUACGUAGGUGGCAAGCGUUAUCCGGAUUUAUUGGGUGUAAAGGGCGUGUAGGCGGGAGCGCAAGUCAGAUGUGAAAACUCAGGGCUCAACCCUGAGCCUGCAUUUGAAACUGUGUUUCUUGAGUGCUGGAGAGGCAAUCGGAAUUCCGUGUGUAGCGGUGAAAUGCGUAGAUAUACGGAGGAACACCAGUGGCGAAGGCGGCCUGCUGGGCUUUUACUGACGCUGAGGCUCGAAAGUGUGGGGAGCAAACAGGAUUAGAUACCCGAGUACA
Molecule: ribosomal RNA, 449 nt
Filed under: uncultured bacterium
Lineage: Bacteria
Description: bacterial SSU rRNA
Rfam family: Bacterial small subunit ribosomal RNA
Source: RNAcentral